Molecule: long non-coding RNA, 1789 nt
Filed under: Astyanax mexicanus (Mexican tetra)
Lineage: Eukaryota; Metazoa; Chordata; Actinopteri; Characiformes; Acestrorhamphidae
Description: lncRNA (ENSAMXG00005022570.1)
Source: RNAcentral
CCGGGCCACAAACAAUCGAACUUUCAACUGACCAAUCACAAAACAGCUCUGAGGUGAAUGGGCGGGGCGUUUUGGCACCAGGUGCGCGCUGAUGGAGAAGCGUUUGGAGGAGCGUGGCGGGAGAACUCAGCAAACAAGCGGUUUUUAGAUCUGAGAGGAUUCUGGGAGACACGUGCAGGGCCAUGGCUGUCUGGUUUAAGCCCAAAUCCUGACAGAGCAAUUGUACAGCUCAAUGACUGUCCAGACUUGGACAUCCACAAUACAAUAAACAUGUGGCUCAGGCCCAGGACAACCCUUGGUCUCUACCAAGACCUUAAGUAUCUGGGUGGCUUGCGUGUUGCCAUUCCUACAAGAACCAGGGGGAGGAUGGAUUACUUGUCUGCUGUAUCUGAGAAGUGUGAAAUAUUGUGUUCAUUCCUGUGUUCAAGUCCUGGCUAAACAUGUGAAGUCAUAGUUGUGGAAGAUUGAGCAGAAAGGAAGUAAAUAUUGGCAGUCAAGUCCACACCCUACCAAGGCCAGGAAGGUGUUUCCCAGACCUGUGUUGACGGACUGAAGUCUGGAUUUCCUGUAAACAAUGGCAGUUUUUUCACAUUUUUUGUAAGAAACAAGUAUUGAACACAUUCUCAAAAAUGACACUGCAGUUGGACUCAAACAAUUUUAUUUAUUUCAGCAAACACUCGGGUCUCCAGACUUUUUAAAGGAGAAGCGGAUCGUUUGGGUGCAAUCAUUUCCCCACUUUCUUCAACAGUGAUAUUUGUUGUAGCUGAGAGGAUUCUGGGACAUCUUUUUAGAGAUAUUUUGUGAAGUUUCAAAAGUAUGAUCUGUUUAAAUAUCUGCAAUAUUUGAAAUGAAUAAUUUUUUGUUCAGUUGCUUUGCAGGAAGUUUGCUGGCCAUAACAAGGAGUCUAAAUAUCCACUUGCGACCAAGUGCCAUGUUUCUGGAUUCCUCAGACAAAUGGUAAUCUGUAGUUAAAAAAAAAAAAAAAAAUACUUUCAUUUAGAAAAUGUCACAGUAUUAUAACUUCAGUGAUUAAAUGUUUCAUUUACAGCACCACCUGCUGAGGUCAAAAGCCUGGUGACGUUUUACCUCAAGAUCCCCGAACACUACAAAGACUUAAAUCUUUUAGAAAUGGUUUACUCGCAUACAUUAGUACGCAUAACACAGUUUAGACUUACUUUGAUUAGGAUUUCUUUUUUUUGUGUGUGUGUGUUUUAUAUUACUGAUUUUCAGUUUGUUACAGCAACAAUGUGUAUGUGAAAAAAGGGACUUAUUAAAAGUAAAGAUUGCAGUUGAAAUGUUUUAGUUUAAGCUAGCUAAUUUGUCAACAGGUCUUUUAGUUACUCUACAAUUAGCAAUGGGCAAAGUUUAUACUUUUUGGUUUGUCAGAUUUGUGACUUAAUAAUAACCUUUCCUGUACAUUUAUCCUUCCAAACUUUAGAACAACUCUUAACAGGUUUGCUGGGUAAAGAAGACCUCUUAAAAUACCUACUGAUUGUCUCUAGUACAUUUUUAGAAGUUACUUCCUUUCCACUGUUAGUACAAAACAAAACCAAUAUGUGAUUUGUACACUUUUUUACACAUGGCUCACUCGCCAUAUCUCCAAAACUGUAACACACCAGAUUAGGAACAAGAGAUCAAUAUUCACUGUACAUUUAACCUCUUGACAGGCCAGGGUUUUUAUCAGUUGUCUGCCUGACAUUACAGCAUUACAUAAAGCUUUCAUGUGUGAUGAACAUACUUGUACUAGAAAAAAAUGUAAUGAAUAAAAUCAGAAAACAUUUUAAAAUCA